UUUAGUUCUGACAAUUGAAGAAGCUGGAGAAUUUCCACUAAGCCAACAUACUUAGUAUCUUCCAGCACCUACAAAUUUGAAAGUUAUCCAGUUCUUAAGUAUUGCCAUUUGGCCUGAGAAGAUAUUGACUUCUGGCCAUGUUUCAAAGAAGUGCACAUAUAUAAAUAUCUAUUCAAUCCUUUAUCUUCCAAUAUCCUAUAACAUGGAAAUGUAUAUUGCUAGGUCCUCUUUAUUCAACAGCAACUGAGUAGAACCCAUUAAUCCCUUCACUGGUGCAUUCAUUCAGGAAAUACAUUUUGAGUGCCUUGAAACUAUCUCCAAUGCCCAGCAUAGCCCAUAGCAUCUAGACUAAUAUAUGUGUGUGUACAUAUAUAUGAAUAUAUAUAGCAAUAUAUAUAUAUACUUCCUACCUUCAAUGACCUCGAAGUACAGCAAAUAAUUAUUAUGUGCUAAAUGAUGGAAACACAAAGAUAUACUAUGAAGAGAAGUAGGAGUUGGAGGACCAACUGUGUACAGAGACGAGAUCAUGGAAGAUCAACUGAGCGCCUCUGGCAAAACAUCAAGAGCAAAGAGAAGAUGGCCCAUCAUAAGCCAAAGCAAUUAAAUUCCUCUCCCUCUGGCCACACCAAAGAGCAUUUAACAUGCAUCAUGGUCUCAGGUCAAGAGUAUAUUCAAUAGUUGACAGUGAUGUGGCCUCUAGCUUUCCAGAAGAGAGGAAGUCACUGUCCAUCAUACAGUGCUUUAAUUUGAGAGGCUGAACUGAUGUCUGUGGAGAAAAGAACACGAAGGAAUAAUGUAAUAUGAAACUCCCUAACAUGAUACAUAUACAAAGACUAUUGAGAAAUCAAUGUGGAAAAUGCAAAACUAAGGGAGAAAGCAUUUUGAACCACUCAUCUAAGAAUAUGGUCAGUAUUAAAAAGACAAGAAUAUCAGAAAAAUCUCCCAAGUUAUGUUCAUAGGCUUAGCAGAAUAAAGGUAAGGCUUACUAGUUAAAUGAAUGAGAGAGGAGAAUUUUUUCUAAAUCUUAGAAAAUGUUCAGGCUCUCCCAUCUUUCUCCACACCCCUCAUGAGCAUCUCUGUAAAAACUGCCAUCAGGACCAAAGACAGCAGCUCUCAGUUUAACGUAGGUGCCAGUGACCAAACUACCGCUCAAGGAAAUAAGAGAGGAUACAAACAAAUGGAAAAACAUUCCAUGCUCAUGGAUAGGAAGAAUCAAUAUCGUGAAAAUGGCCAUACUGUCCAAAGUAAUUUAUAGAUUCAAUGCUAUUCCCAUAAAGCUACCAUUGACUUUCUUGAUAGAAUUAGAAAAAACCACUUUAAAUUUCAUAUGGAACCAAAAAAGAGCCUGUAUACCAAAGACAAUCCUAAGCAAAAAGAACAAAACAUCACGCUACCUGACUUCAAACUAUACUACAAGGCUACGGUAACCAAAACAGCACGGUACUGGUACCCAAACUGAUAUAUAGACCAAUGGGACAGAACAGAGGCCUCAGAAAUAACACCACACAUCUACAACCAUCUGAUCUUUGACAAACCUGACAAACACAAGCAAUGGGAAAAGAAUACCCUAUUUGAUAAAUGCUGUUGGGAAAACUGGUUAACCGUAUACAGAAAACUGAAACUGGACCCUUUCCUUACACCUUAUACAAAAAUUAACUCAAGAUGGAUUAAAGAUUUAAAUAUAAGACCUAAAAUCAUAAAAAUCCUUUGUAUCCCAAGUGCUCAGCACACAGUCUCUGACACUAAACAUUUGUUGAACUAAUUAAAUAGAGGAAAGAGAAUUAAAAUGCCAUGGUGAAAAAGAAGCAGCAUCUCUGCUGUCUACCCAACAGUGAUCUGUAUCUGUUUCUCACUUCUGCAUCUUAUGAAGUCAUAAAAUUAAAAGUUUUGGGAACCCUG
This is a long non-coding RNA of Homo sapiens (human), 1899 nucleotides long. Ensembl annotates it as long intergenic non-protein coding RNA 2311. The record is from Ensembl. Lineage: Eukaryota; Metazoa; Chordata; Mammalia; Primates; Hominidae.